AUUGAACGCUGGCGGCAUGCCUUACACAUGCAAGUCGAACGGCAGCAUAGGAGCUUGCUCCUGAUGGCGAGUGGCGAACGGGUGAGUAAUAUAUCGGAACGUGCCCUAGAGUGGGGGAUAACUAGUCGAAAGACUAGCUAAUACCGCAUACGAUCUACGGAUGAAAGUGGGGGAUCGCAAGACCUCAUGCUCCUGGAGCGGCCGAUAUCUGAUUAGCUAGUUGGUGGGGUAAAAGCCUACCAAGGCAACGAUCAGUAGCUGGUCUGAGAGGACGACCAGCCACACUGGGACUGAGACACGGCCCAGACUCCUACGGGAGGCAGCAGUGGGGAAUUUUGGACAAUGGGGGCAACCCUGAUCCAGCAAUGCCGCGUGAGUGAAGAAGGCCUUCGGGUUGUAAAGCUCUUUUGUCAGGGAAGAAACGGUAGUAGCGAAUAACUAUUACUAAUGACGGUACCUGAAGAAUAAGCACCGGCUAACUACGUGCCAGCAGCCGCCGUAA
RNAcentral lists this ribosomal RNA (502 nucleotides) under uncultured bacterium. RNAcentral's name for it is "partial 16S ribosomal RNA". It matches the Rfam family "Bacterial small subunit ribosomal RNA", at positions 30 to 523 of the family's 1533-position model. The record is from RNAcentral.